Triticum urartu is the source of this 125-nucleotide non-coding RNA. NCBI's taxonomy places the organism in Eukaryota, Viridiplantae, Streptophyta, Magnoliopsida, Poales, Poaceae. The record is from Rfam.
UUACUACUCCCUCCGUCCAGAAAUACUUGUCGGAGAAAUGGAUAAAAAUGGAUGUAUCUAGAACUAAAUUAUGUCUAGAUACAUUCUUCGCUCCGACAAGUAUUUUCGGACGGAGGGAGUACUUC